This 253-nucleotide ribosomal RNA is filed under the name uncultured bacterium. RNAcentral's name for it is "partial 16S ribosomal RNA". It matches the Rfam family "Bacterial small subunit ribosomal RNA", at positions 524 to 776 of the family's 1533-position model. The record is from RNAcentral.
UACAGAGGGUGCGAGCGUUGUCCGGAAUUACUGGGCGUAAAGGGCGCGUAGGUGGCUCGAUAAGUAGGAGGUGAAAUCUCACGGCUCAACCGGGAGGCUGCCUUCUAGACUGUCGAGCUCGAGCAUGGUAGAGGCAGAUGGAAUUCCCGGUGUAGCGGUGGAAUGCGUAGAGAUCGGGAAGAACACCAGUGGCGAAGGCGGUCUGCUGGGCCAUAGCUGACACUGAAUCGCGACAGCGUGGGGAGCAAACAGG